GACAAUCAAUGCAUAUCUCGUACUCCGUAUUAAUUAGACCUGUACCCUCUAUAUAUACGGAGACGAGAGUGAGCCGUGGCCAUUGACCCAGAUUGCAUCUAUCUCAUAUUCUCGUACACAGUUCGUGGAAAAAAUGAAGAGGAGCAGCGUGGUGUACAUUAUUGCCGUUUUGUUCAUCGGGUGCCUUCUUAUUGGUGGACAAUGUCGGCCUGAGCCUGAGAGCACCAACGAAGAUGGCCGUGCCAACGCGACAAUGGUGGUCUCAUCAUCAGAUGAUAACGAAAUUACGAUGAAAUUUUGUGUUAUUAGGGAUUGUAAGACCAAAGGUGAAUUCUUGGGCUUGAAAGGAGCGUGCUUAUGCUGCCUCAAUCGGUCGGACGUACCGUGUUUUCAUACCCAAGAUGAGUGUAAGAAGAAUUGCCCACCAAUCUGAAUUAAUGCUGUGCAUUAUGAGAAGAUAUAAAGCAGUCUAUUAUAAUAAAUAAGAUAUUGUUCGAUGGCUUGACGCA
Long non-coding RNA from Aegilops tauschii subsp. strangulata, 509 nucleotides. RefSeq lists it as uncharacterized. Lineage: Eukaryota; Viridiplantae; Streptophyta; Magnoliopsida; Poales; Poaceae. The record is from RefSeq and is a predicted model, not a curated record.